RNAcentral lists this long non-coding RNA (1387 nucleotides) under Vitis vinifera (wine grape). RNAcentral describes it as "long non-coding RNA (VVIN_LNC007604)". Lineage: Eukaryota; Viridiplantae; Streptophyta; Magnoliopsida; Vitales; Vitaceae. The record is from RNAcentral.
UGUAACCAACUAACAAGAUGGCUAAGCUGUUGAUGUCCAUUGCUCUCUGUCUCCUCCUCGUGUACGUUAGCGAGGCCCGCCCUAUGCGGAAACCCUUCGUCCUCCAUGGCCGCGUCUACUGCGACACUUGCCGCGCUGGAUUCGAGACCUCCGCAACCACUUACAUCGCCGGUAACGCCUUCUUGCUUUUAGCUUUUAUAUAAUCGUUCAGAAACAUGGUGUCUCAAAGUAUUUGUUAUUGUGCAUGGAUCUGGACCAUUUGAUUGGUGGAUCAUCCUUGGAGGGUUUUUCCCCCAAUUUGGUGGCCAGAUCUGAUGAUUGUGGCGAUGGUUUUCACCAGUUUUUGUUGACUAUAUCCUAUCAACGGCAUAGAUCUAUGAGUUUUUGCGUACAAAUGUUCUUAACCGUCUGCAUUGGACAACGAAGAUUCCUUAUUUUUCUUCUGCUCUACUACAUCUAUUUUAUUAUUAUUAGCAUAACUAUCCUUAUUUUGUUAAUUGUUAUUUCUUCUGCUUUUGCUAGUACUGCAGCCGUUUUAUUAUUAUCAUCAGUCAUAGGCUUUAUUGUUGUUAUGGUAAUGCAAAAAGACAAACACAAUGGGUCCCCCAUAGGGUUCUGGUGCAAUCACUCUGGCUCUACUGCCAGCAUGUUGAGGCUUAGGGUUCAUGGUCUACUCCAUAUGGAGGUGUGAAAAAUCAUGUGAUGUGUAGCAUGUGAUGGCUAUUAUUAGCCUCAUCAUGUGAAUUGUCAAGGUUCACGCGGAUCAUAUGGAGGUGUGGUUGCUUCCUCAUUAAAGAAUUCUUUUGGAUUUUGAUUUUGGAGUCUACAACAGAAGCAAUCACAACCCAACACAGAAUACUCCUUUUAUACUGCCAUUGCAGAUGAUUGCUUAAGAGCAUCAAGAAUGACUUGCAAGUUGUAUCCAUGUAUCAGUUUAUUAUAUUUUUGUUUGUGUGGGAUUGGGCUUCAACAAUUUGUAGUAAAUUGGUAAUUUUUGUUUUUUCCAAUCUUAUCAAAUCCAAAAUUGUUUUAUCUCUUCAAAUGAUUCAGUGUUAUUCCCCGUUCCAAAAGAUAUUAUUUCAGAUAUUUCAAUGUCAAAUUAUGUGCUUGGGCAGGUGCAAGAGUUAGAAUUGAGUGCAAAGACAGGAACAGCUUACAGCUUGUUUACAGCGUUGAGGGGGUGACUGACUCAACUGGAACAUACAAGUUCUCAAUUGCAGAUGAUCAUGGGGACCAAAUGUGUGAUGCUGUUCUAGUGAAGAGCCCACAGCCUGACUGUGCAAAAGUAGAUGCAGGACGCGAUCGCUCCCGUCUUAGCCUCACCCGCAGCAAUGGUCUUGUUUCUGAUACUCGUUUUGCAAAUGCCAUGGGAUUCAUGAAGGAUGAG